GCCAGGCAUGAUGGUGCACGCCUGUAAUCCCAGUGAUUUGGGAGGCCGAGGCAGGAGGAUCACAAGUUGGGGACCUACCUCAGCAACUUAGUGAGACCCUAAGCAACUUGGUGAGACCCUGUAUCAA
Molecule: small RNA, 127 nt
Filed under: Marmota monax (woodchuck)
Lineage: Eukaryota; Metazoa; Chordata; Mammalia; Rodentia; Sciuridae
Source: RNAcentral